RNAcentral lists this ribosomal RNA (305 nucleotides) under uncultured bacterium. RNAcentral describes it as "bacterial SSU rRNA". It matches the Rfam family "Bacterial small subunit ribosomal RNA", at positions 337 to 658 of the family's 1533-position model. The record is from RNAcentral.
GCCUACGGGACGCAGCAGUGGGGAAUAUUGCACAAUGGGGGAAACCCUGAUGCAGCGACGCCGCGUGAGCGAAGAAGUAUUUCGGUAUGUAAAGCUCUAUCAGCAGGGAAGAAAAAUGACGGUACCUGAGUAAGAAGCACCGGCUAAAUACGUGCCAGCAGCCGCGGUAAUACGUAUGGUGCAAGCGUUAUCCGGAUUUACUGGGUGUAAAGGGAGCGUAGACGGCAGGGCAAGUCUGGAGUGAAAGCCCGGGGCCCAACCCCGGGACUGCUUUGGAAACUGCCAUGCUGGAGUGCUGGGGAGGG